UAUUUCCUCAAGUAAUUAUUAUUAUUUUUUUUUUUUUGAACUAUCGUUUGUAUUCGAAGGAUGCGAGUUGACUCAGAACAGCUCGGACAAGGAAAAGGUUGAAAUGGAGAAAUAUGAAAAGAUCUGUUUAGUCGGAAAAGAAGUGCUGCAUUAUUUCGGGCAGAUGGUCUAUACCCUGCAGCAUGUUCACAACAAGCUCAUCUUGCACAGGGACCUCAAAUCCCAGAACAUUUUGCUCCUUCAAAACAAGAGGACUGAAAAUUGGGAAUUUUGGGAUCUCCAGUAUUAAGUAGCAAGAAUAAAGCUUCAACAGUUCUUUACCAACUUAUAAAAGCUAAAUUGCUUCGUUCUGUUUCUCUUUGCUUCUCAAGAACCUCUUCUGUUUUGAAAAAACAAAUACUCCAUUGUUACAUUGAUGUUGUUUCCUUUAACUGUUAUAAGAUAUAACCAGAAGAGUGACAUCUGGGCCCUUGGCUGCAUUCUGUAUCAGCUGCUGACUCUGAAGAGACCCUUUGAAGUUGAUAGGAGGGCCUCAGAGACGAAUCGUUCCGUAACCGAACAGAUUUCUCUCCAAAAUAUCUGGUUGUUUAUGAUUGAGACAUUGGAAGCUUUUCUUCUGCCAUCGAAUCCCACACAUAAAUCCUUAUACUACUGGGGCCGAUGUCUGGAAUCGCCAGAAGAAGCUAAAGAUUACUCCAAAACUCAAGUCCCCUUGUGCUUUCAUGGAAAAGUUGUUUCUGCCAUUGCAUGUGACGGUAAAAGAUGCAUCAUUGUGGAGGAUGAUACCUCUAAAAAUUUAACUACUCGCGAAAUUUGACCUUUUUUUUCUGUAUGCUGAAUUGACAUUGAAAUUGCGAGUAAAAUAUUGUCUUUUCAUCUGUUUUUUUAUCAAAAUUUUUAUUUUUGGAACAUUAAUAAACCAACGAGCUCUCAUGUCUCAUCUGAGUCAUCCGGAAAUGUAAUCGGAUCAGGUUUUCAGAUUUAUCAUUGAACUUUAUGCUAAUGGUUUUGAAGCUGGGCCCAGAGCCUGUUGCUGGUCGUCACAUUUGUAUUUGUAAAAUGUUCUGUAGGUAAAGGUGCGUGACAGGGUUGCCUUGCUAACUCUUUUCUUGGUAUGUCUGCUACACUAAAUCAAAUCAUCAAAACUAACCUUGACUUUGUUACACCUAAUGCAUCUACUCACAUGAAAUAAUACGUCUUAAGAUCUUAUCUGAUUCAAAUUACUUUUAAAAUAAAUUAGCACAAGAGAAACAAGCCUCUGCAAUUCCAUCAUAUAAAAAUUUUUCCUCUUUGUAGAACACUACUUCUGUGCUCUCUAUGAGUCGCCAUCUAGCUCUGCAUGGCAAUACGGCAGCAAGCUUUCUUACCUAGUGAAUAUUUGUAAGUUAAUUUGCUUAGAUUUUAGAAAUUCCAAAAAACUUUGUGGCAAGUCAUGUUUUUUCUCAUGAGCGUUACCUUGAUUAACCCAUUAAGCAUGCCAAAGCUCCCAUUGUGGAAACAUCUACCUUUAAAUUUUUUUCUCUUCAGAAAUUGGAGUUAUUUAUAAAAAAUACAUUCCAUGUGAGUUUUAACAAAACGGACGAGAUUUAAAAAAAAAUCAGUAGAAUCUAUGAAUUGUAUACAUUUUUCAAAAAAAUGGAACUAAAUGGAAAAAAACUAAAUUAUGGGAUACUUAAUUUAUUUCAAAUGCUCUGCAUAUUUAAAGCAGAUAUUCUAACAAAUAAGAUACGAAAAACCCGGAAUGAAACGUUUAGUUUAAAGCAAUGCUAGAAGCACUUAAAGUUUUUGCUCCCGGAGCGGGAGCUUUGGUGGGGACCGGUAGCAUUCUUCCUCUUUUAUGUGCGAGAGCAUACAAUGAAGAAAUAAAUGCUGCUAGGCAGAAAGGGGCAACCUACGUCACGAAGCACGUAUACUCCUUUCUGGGUCUUUCGAAAAAGGAUUCUUGGAACUAUGUUUUGUUAAUGUUUCCUCUAUCCUCAAGAUAGUUUGACUGAUAAGAGAAAAUAGACUAAAAGACUACCCUCUUAGUAAAAGUACGUUAUUAGUAGCAAAUGAAAGAGGGUGUAUCGAAUCCAUUCAAACUGAGAACUUAACUGUGGUAAAAUGGAAGGAUAACAAAAUAGUAUGUUUAGCUUCUAAUUUUGAGACAGAAGCUCUCUUAGGAAUUGUCAAAAGAUGGUGUUUUGAAGAAAAAAAAGAUUAAAUUUUCCUCAACCUCAUUUAAUUUCAUCAUAUAAUAAAAAUAUAGGUGGUAUGGAUUUCUUAGAUAGAUUUCUAAGUAUAUGCAGUACUUGUAAUAAAAGGAAAAAUGGUGGUGGCCUUUUUUUAUGAACAUACUGAAUAUGGCUGUUGUAGCAGCCUGGAGAAUUCACAAAGAACUCAAGGGCGAAAUGAUGCAACUAAUAUUUUUAAAGGAUAUAACUACAGCUUCAAUGAAAAGUUCCAUGAAAUAUUAUGUAAAUCCGCAGUCCAUGGCAUUGCGGACCAGUGAACUCUACUGUACAUUUUGAUGGAGUAAACCAUUUCAUUAUAAGCGUGGAAAAACAAUCUCGAUGUAAAUAUGGUAAAAAGAGCACUCAAAUCAAUGGUAAAAAAUGCAAUGUAAUGCUGCAUCGA
Uloborus diversus is the source of this 2616-nucleotide long non-coding RNA. RefSeq lists it as uncharacterized. Lineage: Eukaryota; Metazoa; Arthropoda; Arachnida; Araneae; Uloboridae. The record is from RefSeq and is a predicted model, not a curated record. The transcript is spliced from 5 exons.